GUCCACGCCUAACGAUGCGAACUGGACGUUGGAGCAAUUAGGCUCUCAGUGUCGAAGCUAACGCGUUAAGUUCGCCGCCUGGGAGUACGGUCGCAAGACUGAACUCAAAGGAAUUGACGGGCCCGCACAAGCGGUGGAGUAUGUGGUUUAAUUCGAUGCAACGCGAAGAACCUUACCUGGCCUUGACAUCCACGGAAUCCUUGAGAGAUCAGGGAGUGCCUUCGGGAACCGUGAGACAGGUGCUGCAUGGCUGUCGU
Molecule: ribosomal RNA, 257 nt
Filed under: uncultured bacterium
Lineage: Bacteria
Description: partial 16S ribosomal RNA
Rfam family: Bacterial small subunit ribosomal RNA
Source: RNAcentral